RNAcentral lists this transfer RNA (73 nucleotides) under Fidelibacterota bacterium. RNAcentral describes it as "tRNA-Thr". It matches the Rfam family "tRNA". From Rfam's summary of the family: Transfer RNA (tRNA) molecules are approximately 80 nucleotides in length. Their secondary structure includes four short double-helical elements and three loops (D, anti-codon, and T loops). Lineage: Bacteria; Pseudomonadati; Fidelibacterota. The record is from RNAcentral.
GCCACCGUAGCUCAGUUGGUAGAGCGCCUCACUUGUAAUGAGGAUGUCGCGGGUUCGACUCCUGCCGGUGGCU